CCUACGGGAGGCAGCAGUGAGGAAUAUUGGUCAAUGGACGCAAGUCUGAACCAGCCAUACCGCGUGCAGGAAGACGGCUCUAUGAGUUGUAAACUGCUUUUGUACGAGGGUAAACGCAGAUACGCGUAUCUGUCUGAAAGUAUCGUACGUAUAAGGAUCGGCUAACUCCGUGCCAGCAGCCGCGGUAAUACGGAGGAUUCAAGCGUUAUCCGGAUUUAUUGGGUUUAAAGGGUGCGUAGGCGGUCGGAUAAGUUAGAGGUGAAAUCCCGAGGCUCAACUUCGGAAUUGCCUCUGAUACUGUUCGGCGAGAGAGUAGUUGCGGUAGGCGGAAUGUAUGGUGUAGCGGUGAAAUGCUUAGAGAUCAUACAGAACACCGAUUGCGAAGGCAGCUUACCAAGCUACUUCUGACGUUGAGGCACGAAAGCGUGAGGAGCAAACAGGAUUAGAUACCCCAGUAGUC
Molecule: ribosomal RNA, 460 nt
Filed under: uncultured bacterium
Lineage: Bacteria
Description: partial 16S ribosomal RNA
Rfam family: Bacterial small subunit ribosomal RNA
Source: RNAcentral